AUUGAACGCUGGCGGCAGGCCUAACACAUGCAAGUCGAGCGGCUGAAGAGAGCUUGCUCCUGGAUUCAGCGGCGGACGGGUGAGUAAUGCCUAGGAAUCUGCCUGGUAGUGGGUGAUAACGUCCUGAAACGGGCGCUAAUACCGCAUACGUCCUGACGGCGAAAGUGGGAGAUCUUCGGACCUCACGCUAUCAGAUGAGCCUAGGUCGGAUUAGCUAGUUGGUGGGGUAAAGGCCUACCAAGGCGACGAUCCGUAACUGGUCUGAGAGGAUGAUCAGUCACACUGGAACUGAGACACGGUCCAGACUCCUACGGGAGGCAGCAGUGGGGAAUAUUGGACAAUGGGCGAAAGCCUGAUCCAGCCAUGCCGCGUGUGUGAAGAAGGUCUUCGGAUUGUAAAGCACUUUAAGUUGGGAGGAAGGGCAGUAAGUUAAUACCUUGCUGUUUUGACGUUACCAACAGAAUAAGCACCGGCUAACUUCGUG
RNAcentral lists this ribosomal RNA (484 nucleotides) under uncultured bacterium. RNAcentral describes it as "partial 16S ribosomal RNA". It matches the Rfam family "Bacterial small subunit ribosomal RNA", at positions 30 to 507 of the family's 1533-position model. The record is from RNAcentral.